Musa acuminata AAA Group (dessert banana) is the source of this 2064-nucleotide RNA transcript. It is a transcript of the gene named F-box protein At5g46170-like, with no coding region annotated. The transcript has 4 exons. The record is from RefSeq and is a predicted model, not a curated record. Lineage: Eukaryota; Viridiplantae; Streptophyta; Magnoliopsida; Zingiberales; Musaceae.
GCUUAUUUGGCAGCGAGAAGGAAGACGAAGCUUUCGCAGACUCUUCUUCUCCCCCGUCGCGCUCCAAAUUUGGGUGCUUCCAGAGGUGGGAGUUUGGGUUCUGCUGUAAUCGCUCGGAUUGUCUCCAAAGAUUGCGCCUUUCUAGGGUUUUCGAGGAUUUGGGCCUGCUUUUUGAUCCAUUGCUGUCGGAUUAUUUUUUGGAUAAUAUGUCCUCUGGCGCCGUAGGAGCGGCGGAUCCGGACGGGUUGCCGCCGCUCCGCUGGGAUCCGGCAGUGGAGGAGGAGGGGAUUGACCAUUUCGACCGGUUGCCGGACUCGGUGUUGCUUGUGAUCUUUAACCGGAUUGGCGAUGUCAAGACCUUGGGGCGGUGCUGCGCCGUGUACCGGCGCUUCCACGACCUAGUCCCCCUCGUCGAUGACGUCGUUGUCCGCGUCGACUGCGUCAUCUCAGACGACCCCUCCCCCGCGACGCCCGGCGGCGGUUUUGACAAGCCCCACAGCGUCUUCUCCCACUUUGCUCGCUUCGUCCUCGGCGGCCUCGUCAAGCCCCUUGAGGCUCUCUGUCAAAUGCUCUCCCCCGCCUCCUGCGCGGAUGCCGUCGCCAGGAAGUCAGGGUUGUUUUCGUCUUCGUCUCCCGAGGUCUCUCACCAUUCCCCGACUGAGGUCCUGAAGAACUUUAAGGAAAUCCGACGCCUCCGCAUCGAGCUACCCUACGGCGAGCUCGGCGUCGACGACGGCGUCCUCCUGAAGUGGAAGGCCGACUUUGGAUGCACCCUCGAAAGCUGCGUUAUCCUCGGUGCCUCCUCCGUAGUCUCCUCGUGCUCGAUGUCCGCCAAAUCCUCAGAACCUGACCCAAAUCCUAGUUUCCAGGACGCUUGUGGUGGUGAUGAUUGCGGGAACAUCCCGGAAUCGUUCUACGCCGAUGGGAGCUUGAAACGCAGGGUCGUGUGGACUAUCAGCUCACUGAUUGCAGCUUCCGCGCGGCAUUACCUUCUCCAUCCGAUCGUGGCCGACAACGAGACCAUAGAGAGAUUAGAUCUGACAGAUGCUGAUGGGCAGGGGUUGCUGACACUGGACCGCCGGCAGCUACAAGAACUACGAACGAAGCCAGUGAUGUCUUCCGGGAGCUCACACCGGACGCUUCUGCCAGCACUAAACAUGCGCCUGUGGUAUGCACACCAGCUGGAGUUGCCCGGUGAGAUGGCGUUGAAGGGUGCAACAUUGUUGGCAAUCAGACCAAGUGAGGAGCGGAUGGGGGAGGCGGUCGGUGGUGUUGUUGGUCAAUCCAUCGGUUUCUCUGAUGGUUGCUGGGUCUCAGAUACAUUUGAAGAGCCAUACCGGACGGCAAUUAGGAUGCUAAUGAAAAGGAAGACUCACAGCCUUGAGAUGAAUUCCUUCUGAUUCUGAAAUAACUGCAACAUAAUUCAGCCUUUAGAGGUUUAUGGAUUUUGAUGCCCCAUAGAGGACGGAUAUUAAAUAUGUUAAAGGCAACCGGAGAAUAGUUUGGACCCUUCAUAUGAAGUGAUACUUGUUAAUUCAUCUUCUAAUCCAGUGACCAUACAACACAAAUAUCGAGCAGCAAAGCCAGAUUUCUUCAUGGCACAUGAGUAGCUUCCCUGUGAGUGAACAAAGACCACACUGAAAGGGCCUUCAUCUGCUUAAAUGGUGUCUUAUCCACAAGCAAGCAAUAAAGAUGGAUUGUUUACCAUUACAUAACCAGGUUUCACUCUGCAAUCACACAAUGAUAUAACUGUCUCACACAUGAUAUGAAUGCAAUUGAUGAGAACAAAGAACAAAACAAUUCUGAUUUUGACCACAGUUCUACUGAGAGUCCUUGCUGCAAACAAUAUUCCAGGAAAGGAAGCCAACAACUCCAUCAAUUAUGUGCUGUCUAAAUGUAUCAACUAAUCAGCUGACAUAUUUUACCAACAUGAAGAGUCAAGGUAGAUGGUGAAAGCGAAGAAUGGGAACCCAGAUCAAGGUUUUUAGCUUCUAAAUUGUAGCCCUAACAUUAAACAUGGUGCUUCCUGUUGUCACUGGUCUCGAAAUGUAAAGGGUAUUAGUA